This is a long non-coding RNA of Suricata suricatta (meerkat), 349 nucleotides long. RefSeq lists it as uncharacterized. NCBI's taxonomy places the organism in Eukaryota, Metazoa, Chordata, Mammalia, Carnivora, Herpestidae. The transcript is spliced from 2 exons. The record is from RefSeq and is a predicted model, not a curated record.
GCCGCCCCCACCUUGAAGGACGCUCCGGAGCUGAGGGACAGCCCUGCUGGGGUCACAGCCCACUCCUGCCAACUAGGAAAGGGCAUUUGUUCUUGGACUCUGGUUGCAAGAGGAAAUGUAGGAGAAGAGGGUUCCAAUACCAGGCUUUGCUGCACCAUGCUCACCUCUGCUUUGAAGAUUUUAACACUAAAGUGGGGACCAGUCUUCUCUGGAAAAUAUGAGACAGGCUAACAUUCAGGGAGCUGGCAGAGUGACAAGGUAGAAGGAACCUGGGCCUGGACAGGUCUGCUGUGGACCCACCUGCUGCCUCUGGACUGCUACAUCAGAGAGAAUUAAAAUGUAGCUAUUG